CUAAAAGAUAUGUUACUCUCAGGGUAAGCAAUUAAAUUAAAUGGUUCGAAGUGAAUUCUUUCCAUUGUCUCUAAAGAUUCUAGUGGUCUAAAAUUUAAAUUACCUAACAUUGUCUGUUGAUACGACUCUGAAGACGAAGCUACACCUUUGCCUUUGUCUGCAGGAGGUUGUCCUGUUGGUCUCAUGCUGAAAACAAAUGAGUGAGAUUAAACUUAUUUAUUUAUUCCCAG
RNAcentral lists this long non-coding RNA (230 nucleotides) under Capsicum annuum. RNAcentral's name for it is "long non-coding RNA (CANN_LNC019122)". The record is from RNAcentral. Lineage: Eukaryota; Viridiplantae; Streptophyta; Magnoliopsida; Solanales; Solanaceae.